Molecule: ribosomal RNA, 253 nt
Filed under: uncultured bacterium
Lineage: Bacteria
Description: partial 16S ribosomal RNA
Rfam family: Bacterial small subunit ribosomal RNA
Source: RNAcentral
UACGAAGGGGUCUAGCGUUGUUCGGAAUUACUGGGCGUAAAGCGUGCGCAGGCGGCUUUGCAAGACAGAUGUGAAAUCCCCGGGCUCAACCUGGGAACUGCAUUUGUGACUGCAAGGCUAGAGUACGGCAGAGGGGGAUGGAAUUCCGCGUGUAGCAGUGAAAUGCGUAGAUAUGCGGAGGAACACCAAUGGCGAAGGCAAUCCCCUGGGCAUGUACUGACGCUCAUGCACGAAAGCGUGGGGAGCAAACAGG